CCUCGCCGCGACUCGUUCGUCCUCUUUUGUCGGCGGCGGUGAGUAAGCUUCUGUUCGUAUUGGGUUGGGCGGGCGAAGAGGGAGGACCGGGACAGGUCUUUAAUUUGGUUUCUCCUGGGAUUCCACUAGGGCUUUCCAUUUCUUCCCAACUUCGUCGCCUAUGCUAGCGGCCCUGCUCGGGCCUUCCUGGCGCCGCGGCAGCCCCUCGGUCCGGGCUCCUGGGGCACAUGCGCGUUGCCUAGCCGCCGUUGGGGGAGGGAAGCGGUCGGCGCGAGCGGAAGCGUCAGUCGGGCAGAGGCGCGCUGGCUCCAUUUGUUCCUGGAAGCUUCUACCCGAAUAGGGAGCGGUCCUGGAUUUGCUUUCCUGGCACCCAACCCUCUGCCCGCCCAGCGCUUCUACUCGAGGGACGGGAGACAAGUGCUGGGGUCCCUCGGUGAUGAGACCUAUCACAGACCUGUACUGAUACUCUGUGAGGACAAGAGAAACUCCUGAGGGGGAGCCUGCGCCCCCAGCGCCCCGCUUCCUUUCCUUCUCAGCACCUCUAACGUCUGUUUUCUCCCGCAGGAGGCCCCGGAGCUGCCCUCCUGUCCUGGCAUUGGUUAGGGUUCGUCCAGGAGACCUUCCAGACCAGGUGAUGGAGGCUUGCUUGGAUUAUUCUCCAGCUGUCUGGGCUUCCUUUUCUUUGGAUGAGACCUGAAAGUGUUGCAGAUCUCCUUGAGCCGUGCUAUCUUCACCCUUCUCCUUAGUAAGGGGACAUGCUGGCUACUGGAACAGCUCCAGGCUGAGAAGAGGAGGGUGCUUCACAGCUUGUUUGCUUGCUGUUGACUGGCAGCUUCUUGAGAAAAGGUCCUUUUAAGAGCUGCCUGGAGGACUAGCUGUGAGACCCAGCCAUUGCUAUGUGAUUGCAGGUUCCGACUCCUGACCUGGGGUAGCAGCAAGCAGGGCUGCACUGUCUAUAGGUGAGGCCCGUGUGGCAAAGAAGCUGGAAUUAGGAACUGGCCCUGGAUCAGACUGAAGACACUACAAGGAUGUGGCAAUGAAUAUUUCUCCAAAACCUUGUUUUUUGCAAAUAAAGCUUUGUUUCUCUUGAGUCUGUUCACAUUUCUUUUGGUCACAUGGGGGUGGGACAGAUGGAUGGAGGAUUCCUUUAACUGUCCCCUGCUGUUAGCCAUUCUUGGGGGCCUCGAGAUGCCCCCAAGCUCAUUAUAUAAGUGCCCACUUGCCCUGGGAAUGCCUAGGCUGCAGUUUGAGGGGGUUCGCUCUGCUCAGAAAUCUGGAAGCCAGGCUAGUGCUUGCUAGCUUAUUUAGCUGGGAGCUGGCAGGCUUGGGGCCAGGGGAGGAGCCUUGGGGCGUGGUGACUGGAGGUCCACUGAGGUCUUGUGGAAGGACGCUUGGCUGGGCACUGACUGCUUAAGCUCUGGAGAUGAAGGCACCUCUUCCCCCUGCUGGCCCCAGCAUUCCACUAGCAAUGGCCUCACGGGUUUCUAGGAUCAGUUGAGCCGUCUCCUCCCAUGCUCCCAAGCCCUGGCCCUCCCCAGGCAGCCUGUGCACUUGGCCAUGGCCAGAGAUUGCCUGUGGCUGCUCUUGGUGCUGGUGCUGCCCGCUGGGAGCCAAGGGAUGCCAUGUUGGCAGGCCAGCAGUCCCUUCUUGCCCCCGGAGGAGGGAAAGGCGCAGCCCCCCCUGCCCGAGGUCAGCCCCUGCAUGGUGCAUUGUGCUAAGCAAGUCCUGCCCAGAUUGGGAGCGGGAGUCGUCUCAGUCCUCUUUAACCAGGCGCGGGAAGAGGAGGAGCACAAAUACUGCUGGCCACAGAGACGGCGGGAUUGCCGGCCAGGAGAGCGCCUGGCCAGGGUCUUCCUGCUGCUGCAUGUGAAUGAGCCCGCUGCGGCUCCUUACGAGCUCCUGCCCGCCACGCCGGCCCUGACUCCAGCGAGCAGAAGGCUGCGGCCCAGGAAGAGCGACCCGGCCCUGCUCAGCCUGGCGGGCUGUGGGCUCCUCUAUGACGUCACCAGGCCCUUCCGCAGUGCCAAGAGAGAGGGCCAGUUCAAGGGGGCCGAGUUCUGCGUUAAAGCCGUGUGCCCCGCCAGCCAGCCUUCCUGCCAGCCCCUUCAGAUGGCCCUGAGCUGCCCCCCUUUCCUAGCCACGCUGUGGGGCAGCCGCCCGGGCACCAGGGAGCCCUUCUCCAUUCGACAAGACCCAUCGUUCCCUGGACAGGUCUGAGCAGGCUGCUGGACGUGGCCCCCCAAGAGACUCUGCCAGCUCGAGGCAUCUGGGAGCUGGUGAGGCGUGACGUUGACCCCAAUAAAUUGGUCGUGUGUUUUCUCUGCCUUGGCUGCUCUUUCCCUCUCUGGGAGGGGAAGACGUGGGGCGGAGGGGCGGAAGCCUUAGAUCUAUGGGGACGGACAGGCCUGGGGCCCAAUCACCAGCUCAGCCAGCACCUUGUCCCUGGGGGCAGGCAGCUCAGUGGCUACGGCUCUGAGGACCCAAGAGAAGAGGACACUGCAGGCUGAGCGGGUUCACCAAGAUGUCAGUCUGGGCAUGGGAAGAGAAUGUGGCCAGUGCCGGGGAGACAGCUGAGGGGUUGAGGGAUUAGGAGUGGGGGGGCAUAGGUGGGUAGAGAGCUAGGCCUGGAGACAGGAGGUCCUGAGUUCGAGUGUGGCCUCAGACACUUCCUAGCUGGGCGACCCCCAUUGCCCAGCUCUUGCAGCUCUUUUGCCUUAGAACCAAUAUUAGUAUCAAUUCUUAAACAGAAGGUAAGGAUUAAAAAAAAAUAGAUGCAAAAUAAUCUUGAACGCAAGACAUUUAACUACUGGUGGGGCAUUAGGAAAGCUAUUUAGAAGGAGAUGUUUGAAUUAUUCCUUGAAGGAAACCAGGGAUUCUCGAAUCCUGGCGUUGCCACUUACUAGCUCUUGGAUGCUGGCUCAUCUUUGCCUUGACAGUUUCCUUGUCUGCAAACUAUGGAGAA
This is a long non-coding RNA of Monodelphis domestica (gray short-tailed opossum), 2962 nucleotides long. RefSeq lists it as uncharacterized. Lineage: Eukaryota; Metazoa; Chordata; Mammalia; Didelphimorphia; Didelphidae. The record is from RefSeq and is a predicted model, not a curated record.